RNAcentral lists this ribosomal RNA (530 nucleotides) under uncultured bacterium. Its description in RNAcentral is "bacterial SSU rRNA". It matches the Rfam family "Bacterial small subunit ribosomal RNA", at positions 8 to 518 of the family's 1533-position model. The record is from RNAcentral.
AGAGUUGAUCCUGGCUCAGAACGAACGCUGGUAGCGUGGAUUAGGCAUGCAAGUCGAACGGGAUCGGGGGGUUAGCAAUAAUCUCCCGUGAGAGUGGCGGAUUGGGGAGGAACACGUGAGCAACCUGCCUUGAGUCGGGGAAAACCGUUGGAAACGACGGCUAAUACCGGAUGUGGCGCCCGGUGACAUCACCGGAGCGCUAAAGGGGGCCGCAAGGCUCCCGCUCGUAGAGGGGCUCGCGCACCAUCAGCUUGUUGGCGGGGUAACGGCCCACCAAGGCCUACGGUUAGCUGGUCUGAGAGGAUGACCAGCCCCACUGGGACUGAGAUACUGCCCAGACUCCUACGGGAGGCUGCAGUCGAGGAUCAUUUGCAAUGGGCGAAAGCCUGACAAUGCGACGCUGCGUGGAGGAUGAAGGCCUUCGGGUUGUAAACUCCUGUCAUGGGGGGAACAGGCGAGGGGAGUCAAUACCUCCCUUAGUUGAGUGUACCCCAAGAGGAAUUGGCGGCUAACUCUGUGCCAGCCGCCGC